This 1451-nucleotide ribosomal RNA is filed under the name uncultured organism. Its description in RNAcentral is "16S ribosomal RNA". It matches the Rfam family "Bacterial small subunit ribosomal RNA". The record is from RNAcentral.
GGCGGCGUGCUUAACACAUGCAAGUCGAACGGAAAGGCCCUGCUUUUGUGGGGUGCUCGAGUGGCGAACGGGUGAGUAACACGUGAGUAACCUGCCCUUGACUUUGGGAUAACUUCAGGAAACUGGGGCUAAUACCGGAUAGGAGCUCCUGCUGCAUGGUGGGGGUUGGAAAGUUUCGGCGGUUGGGGAUGGACUCGCGGCUUAUCAGCUUGUUGGUGGGGUAGUGGCUUACCAAGGCUUUGACGGGUAGCCGGCCUGAGAGGGUGACCGGCCACAUUGGGACUGAGAUACGGCCCAGACUCCUACGGGAGGCAGCAGUGGGGAAUAUUGCACAAUGGGCGGAAGCCUGAUGCAGCAACGCCGCGUGCGGGAUGACGGCCUUCGGGUUGUAAACCGCUUUCGCCUGUGACGAAGCGUGAGUGACGGUAAUGGGUAAAGAAGCACCGGCUAACUACGUGCCAGCAGCCGCGGUGAUACGUAGGGUGCGAGCGUUGUCCGGAUUUAUUGGGCGUAAAGGGCUCGUAGGUGGUUGAUCGCGUCGGAAGUGUAAUCUUGGGGCUUAACCCUGAGCGUGCUUUCGAUACGGGUUGACUUGAGGAAGGUAGGGGAGAAUGGAAUUCCUGGUGGAGCGGUGGAAUGCGCAGAUAUCAGGAGGAACACCAGUGGCGAAGGCGGUUCUCUGGGCCUUUCCUGACGCUGAGGAGCGAAAGCGUGGGGAGCGAACAGGCUUAGAUACCCUGGUAGUCCACGCUGUAAACGGUGGGUACUAGGUGUGGGGUCCAUUCCACGGGUUCCGUGCCGUAGCUAACGCUUUAAGUACCCCGCCUGGGGAGUACGGCCGCAAGGCUAAAACUCAAAGGAAUUGACGGGGCCCCGCACAAGCGGCGGAGCAUGCGGAUUAAUUCGAUGCAACGCGUAGAACCUUACCUGGGUUUGACAUGGAUCGGGAGUGCUCAGAGAUGGGUGUGCCUCUUUUGGGGUCGGUUCACAGGUGGUGCAUGCCUGUCGUCAGCUCGUGUCGUGAGAUGUUGGGUUAAGUCCCGCAACGAGCGCAACCCUUGUUCACUGUUGCCAGCACGUUAUGGUGGGGACUCAGUGGAGACCGCCGGGGUCAACUCGGAGGAAGGUGGGGAUGACGUCAAGUCCUCAUGCCCCUUAUGUCCAGGGCUUCACGCAUGCUACAAUGGCUGGUACAGAGAGUGGCGAGCCUGUGAGGGUGAGCGAAUCUCGGAAAGCCGGUCUCAGUUCGGAUUGGGGUCUGCAACUCGACCUCAUGAAGUCGGAGUCGCUAGUAAUCGCAGAUCAGCAACGCUGCGGUGAAUACGUUCCCGGGGCUUGUACACACCGCCCGUCAAGUCAUGAAAGUUGGUAACACCCGAAGCCGGUGGCCUAACCGUUGUGGGGGAGCCGUCGAAGGUGGGACUGGUGAUUAGGACUAAGUCAUAACAAGG